CAGUCGCCGCGGUAAUACGUAGGUGGCAAGCGUUGUCCGGAUUUAUUGGGCGUAAAGCGAGCGCAGGCGGUUCCUUAAGUCUGAUGUGAAAGCCCACGGCUCAACCGUGGAAGGUCAUUGGAAACUGGGGAACUUGAGUGCAGAAGAGGAGAGUGGAAUUCCAUGUGCAGCGGUGAAAUGCGUAGAUAUAUGGAGGAACACCAGUGGCGAAGGCGACUCUCUGGUCUGUAACUGACGCUGAGGCUCGAAAGCGUGGGGAGCAAACAGGAUUAGAUACCCCGGUAGUCCCUGUCUCUUAUAA
Molecule: ribosomal RNA, 301 nt
Filed under: uncultured bacterium
Lineage: Bacteria
Description: partial 16S ribosomal RNA
Rfam family: Bacterial small subunit ribosomal RNA
Source: RNAcentral